UGCAGUCGAGCGGUAGAGAAGGAGCUUGCUUCUUCUUGAGAGCGGCGGACGGGUGAGUAAUGCCUAGGAAUCUGCCUGGUAGUGGGGGACAACGUUUCGAAAGGAACGCUAAUACCGCAUACGUCCUACGGGAGAAAGUGGGGGAUCUUCGGACCUCACGCUAUCAGAUGAGCCUAGGUCGGAUUAGCUUGUAGGUGAGGUAAUGGCUCACCUAGGCAACGAUCCGUAACUGGUCUGAGAGGAUGAUCAGUCACACUGGAACUGAGACACGGUCCAGACUCCUACGGGAGGCAGCAGUGGGGAAUAUUGGACAAUGGGCGAAAGCCUGAUCCAGCCAUGCCGCGUGUGUGAAGAAGGUCUUCGGAUUGUAAAGCACUUUAAGUUGGGAGGAAGGGUUGUAGCUUAAUACGCUGCAACCUUGACGUUACCAACAGAAUAAGCACCGGCUAACUCUGUGCCAGCAGCCGCGGUAAUACAGAGGGUGCAAGCGUUAAUCGGAAUUACUGGGCGUAAAGCGCGCGUAGGCGGCUUGAUAAGAUGGGUGUGAAAUCCCCGGGCUUAACCUGGGAACUGCAUCCAUAACUGUCUGGCUAGAGUACAGUAGAGGGUGGUGGAAUUUCCUGUGUAGCGGUGAAAUGCGUAGAUAUAGGAAGGAACACCAGUGGCGAAGGCGACCACCUGGACUGAUACUGACGCUGAGGUGCGAAAG
This 709-nucleotide ribosomal RNA is filed under the name Pseudomonas sp. JC450. RNAcentral describes it as "bacterial SSU rRNA". It matches the Rfam family "Bacterial small subunit ribosomal RNA", at positions 56 to 759 of the family's 1533-position model. Lineage: Bacteria; Pseudomonadati; Pseudomonadota; Gammaproteobacteria; Pseudomonadales; Pseudomonadaceae. The record is from RNAcentral.